RNAcentral lists this ribosomal RNA (1698 nucleotides) under Triticum aestivum (bread wheat). Its description in RNAcentral is "partial small subunit ribosomal RNA". The record is from RNAcentral. Lineage: Eukaryota; Viridiplantae; Streptophyta; Magnoliopsida; Poales; Poaceae.
AUGACGCAUGGCUCGAUCCUGCCCCCGCUCAUCAACACGUUCGAGGUGUACUCGCUCAUUCGGAUGGAAAACUUUACCGCUGACUCCCAGGAUGUCAGUUACAUGAAAGAAGUCAAGAAACACUACAAUUUGACACGAAUAAACUGGAAUGGAGAUCUGUGCUCCCCAAGAGAAUAUUCCUGGGAAGGUUUGACUUGCGACUACUCUAAGAGCAACCAGAAUCCGAGGAUUGUUGGAGUAAAUCUGUCUACCAGCGGACUGAAAGGUGGAUUAACCAUAGCAUUCAUGAACAUGGUAUCACUGGAAAACCUGGAUUUGUCACACAACAAUUUGACAGGAGGUAUUCCAGACUACCAAAUAAAGUCAAUAAAAGUUCUAGAUUUGUCAUAUAACCAACUCGAUGGACCAAUCCCUCAUUCUAUUCUUCAAAGAUAUCAGGCCGGUCUGCUUGACUUAAGGUUAGAAGGCAAUCCCGUAUGCUCAAAAGUCAAAGAUACGUACUGUUCAAAUAAGAAGAGCACCAAAUCUACCAUGGUCAUCGCAGUGAUAGUUCCUGUAGUACUUGUAUCCCUCCUAGUAGUGAUGUGCAUACUCUGGAAAUUGUGCUGGAAAGGAGACACUGAGGAUUAUGCUAUGUAUGAAGAGGAGACGCCCCUACAUAUUGACAUCAGACGGUUCACCUACGCAGAGCUAAAGCACAUAACAAACGACUUCAAUUCAAUAGUUGGAAAAGGAGGUUUUGGUACUGUUUAUCAUGGCACAAUGGAAAAUGCUGAUGAAGUGGUGGUAAAGGUGCUUAUGGAGACAUCAAUAGCGGAGUCAACGGAUUUCCUCCCUGAGGUGCAAACCUUGUCCAAAGUUCAUCACAAGAAUCUCGUAACUCUACAAGGAUAUUGCCAGAACAAGUGCCUAGCCCUCAUUUAUGACUUCAUGCCCAGAGGAAAUCUUCAACAGCUUUUAAGAGAAGGAGAAGACUACAGUUUGAAUUGGGAACAGCGACUUCAUAUUGCACUUGAUUCUGCACAAGGACUGGAAUAUCUACACGAGUCAUGCACCCCAUCAAUAGUUCACAGAGAUGUCAAGACCGCUAACAUCCUUCUGGACAAGAACCUGGUGGGGAUCAUAGCUGAUUUUGGGCUUUCACGGGCUUUUAACGAUGCGCACACACACAUAUCUACUGUUGCUGCUGGCACUCUUGGCUACCUUGACCCCGAGUACCAUGCAACUUUCCAGCUCACCACCAAGACAGAUGUUUACAGCUUCGGCAUCGUGCUCUUGGAAAUCAUCACUGGCAAGCCCCCGGUGUUGAUGGACCCUCAAACCUACCACCUACCAAAUUGGGUACGCCAAAAGAUUGCCAAAGGCAGUAUCCAAGAUAUCGUGGACAAGAAGCUGUUGGAUCAGUAUGACACCAGUUCCCUGCAGAGUGUGGUGGACCUUGCCAUGAACUGCGUCGAAAGCGCAGCCAUGGACCGUCCUACCAUGACCGAAGUUGUUUCAAGGCUAAAAGUGUUGCUGCCAACGGUUCCAAGUGAAAAGCAGUAUGCUUCUGCGUCCUCUCGAUGUACGAACUCCAUGGAUGCUGAAAUGCGAAGGCAGUUCCAGUUGCUGAUUUCUGAAGAAAGGAACGAGGAGAGCUCCUUCCGGUCUGGUUAUACCGGUGGGAUGCCAGAAUUAAACCCUCUAUCUGGACGUUGA